Molecule: ribosomal RNA, 426 nt
Filed under: uncultured bacterium
Lineage: Bacteria
Description: bacterial SSU rRNA
Rfam family: Bacterial small subunit ribosomal RNA
Source: RNAcentral
GUAGGGAAUAUUGCACAAUGGACGAAAGUCUGAUGCAGCAACGCCGCGUGCACGAUGAAGGCCUUCGGGUCGUAAAGUGCUUUUCUGGGAGAUGAGAAAGGACAGUAUCCCAGGAAUAAGUCUCGGCUAACUACGUGCCAGCAGCCGCGGUAAAACGUAGGAGGCGAGCGUUAUCCGGAUUUACUGGGCGUAAAGCGCGUGUAGGCGGUUUGGUAAGUUGGAUGUGAAAGCUCCUGGCUCAACUGGGAGAGGUCGUUCAAAACUACCAGACUUGAGAGUGGUAGAGGAAGGCGGAAUUCCCGGUGUAGUGGUGAAAUGCGUAGAUAUCGGGAGGAACACCAGUGGCGAAAGCGGCCUUCUGGACCAUUUCUGACGCUCAGACGCGAAAGCUAGGGUAGCAAACGGGAUUAGAAACCCUUGUAGUCC